UACGAAGGGGGCUAGCGUUGCUCGGAAUCACUGGGCAUAAAGCGCACGUAGGCGGCUUUCUAAGUCAGGGGUGAAAUCCUGGAGCUCAACUCCAGAACUGCCUUUGAUACUGGAGAGCUUGAGUCCGGAAGAGGUGAGUGGAACUCCGAGUGUAGAGGUGAAAUUCGUAGAUAUUCGGAAGAACACCAGUGGCGAAGGCGGCUCACUGGUCCGGUACUGACGCUGAGGUGCGAAAGCGUGGGGAGCAAACAGG
RNAcentral lists this ribosomal RNA (253 nucleotides) under uncultured bacterium. RNAcentral describes it as "partial 16S ribosomal RNA". It matches the Rfam family "Bacterial small subunit ribosomal RNA", at positions 524 to 776 of the family's 1533-position model. The record is from RNAcentral.